Molecule: ribosomal RNA, 297 nt
Filed under: uncultured soil bacterium
Lineage: Bacteria
Description: partial 16S ribosomal RNA
Rfam family: Bacterial small subunit ribosomal RNA
Source: RNAcentral
AGAACGAACGCUGGCGGCAUGCCUAACACAUGCAAGUCGAACGAGACCUUCGGGUCUAGUGGCGCACGGGUGCGUAACACGUGGGAAUCUGCCCUUGGGUUCGGAAUAACAGCGAGAAAUUGCUGCUAAUACCGGAUGAUGACGUAAGUCCAAAGAUUUAUCGCCCAAGGAUGAGCCCGCGUAGGAUUAGCUUGGUUGGUGAGGUAAGAGCUCACCAAGGCGACGAUCCUUAGCUGGUCUGAGAGGAUGAUCAGCCACACUGGGACUGAGACACGGCCCAGACUCCACGGGAGCAGC